RNAcentral lists this long non-coding RNA (1365 nucleotides) under Phasianus colchicus (ring-necked pheasant). RNAcentral describes it as "lncRNA (ENSPCLG00000013757.1)". Lineage: Eukaryota; Metazoa; Chordata; Aves; Galliformes; Phasianidae. The record is from RNAcentral.
ACAUAGGAGCAUUUCCCCAUAGUUGCUGGUAGCGUCAGAGGAUCUCAGAAGGGUGACUCAGAAGCGAGGCAUUGAUUUUGGCCAGGAGUCUUCAUGCCAUAGUGCUUCUCUGUAACACCCACGUUUGGCCUCCUUUUUGCUUCCUAGUUGCCUGCCACACAGCAGUUGCUAAAUCUCCAUGUCUGUAGAGACAUAGAUAUGUCUUCCUCAAGAACAAAAGAGAGGAGGUAACUGCAUAUUUAGCUAACAUCUAGCUUGAAAUUCUGUAACAAAUCAGAGAGAGCAUUGGCGUUUUCUCCUCCUCUGGUGCCAAGACACGACUCGGUGAGAAUAUCACGAGGUAACCUCUCCUCCCCACAACAAAUCCCACGUAAGGAUCGCAAAUCCAGUCGCUGAACUCCCGCCCGGUGACGCAGCCCAGACGCGCCCCGACAAGGCCGCUCCUCCCGCUUCCCGUUCCUCCCGUCUCCGCCUCCUGUGCCUCAGCAAAAACAACCGCGGUGCUGGCGCAGCGGCGGGCAGGAAGCUUUGGGAAGAAUUCCAGCAGUGAGAUUGUUCCCCUGUGGAGAACGACUGCCAUCUCAUGUUAAAUGCAUGCACAGCUCAGGACUUGGCCGGCUGUGUUCUUCUGCAGGAAAAAAGGGGGUGGAGACAGUGCAGGAAUGGCCUUUACUGUGAAGUAAACAAGAGACUUCCAAGAAACGUUCUGCAGCGUGAUAGAGACGUCAGGAUUGAACUCGACUUCAGAGAUCAGCUGAUGAAAUAGGUCACACAACUGGAUGUUUCACAAGCAGUUAUUAUUAUUUCAAGUACUGUGUAGCAGAAGAGACAUAACCUUAUAUGUCGCAUUUAUUUUAUUCAAGUUUAUCAUUUAUUACUGACGCAAUUAACAAAUGACUAGGCAAUUCAGGAAGAAAAAUGGUGAGCUAGGGAACUGAGACCUGCAUUAAAUUAUUUUCUUGGAUACAGAAUUUCUGUGACCAGCCAAAGUCUGAAACACGAUCAAAGAUCUUUUAGCUAUUCAAUUCUGCUUUGUGCUAUCCCUGGAGGUAUCUUACCGGCAUUCCUUUCUAGAUCCCUUGAUGGUUGUAAUCUCAAUCUUUACAUUCCUAAACACAUUUAGUAACCUGGUCCUUUCUCUCCUUAUCUGCAAAAUGGCUGUAUUAUUCUGUAUUUCACAAGGAGUGUUGCGAAUAUAAACAUGUUAAAGUCUGUGAGGUUUUGGGUAGCAUAGUAGAAAGAGCUGUGCAGUCACUUCAGAUAGAUGUUCAGUCUGUGACCUGUGCAUUCAUAUCAACAUUAACAUAUAAAGUAAUUAUUAACUAAGGUAAUAAAAAUAAAAUAAAUAAUGACUGCUUAUUAUUU